RNAcentral lists this ribosomal RNA (107 nucleotides) under Caerostris extrusa. The record is from RNAcentral. Lineage: Eukaryota; Metazoa; Arthropoda; Arachnida; Araneae; Araneidae.
AACGGCCGUACCAUGCUGAAUAUACCGGUUCUCGUUAGAUCACCGAAGUCAAGCAUCAUUGGGCGCGGUUAGUACUUGGGUGGGUGACCACCUGAGAACACCACGCG